GCCUCCAUAGUCCAGUGGUUAUCAUCCUUCCAAACCCGGCAUUGUCCGAAAUACGAAGGUCGACGGUUCGAAUCCGUCAGGAGACA
Molecule: non-coding RNA, 86 nt
Organism: Mycena leptocephala
Lineage: Eukaryota; Fungi; Basidiomycota; Agaricomycetes; Agaricales; Mycenaceae
Source: the annotation of a GenBank genome assembly